AACCUAGCACACCUGCGGUGUGUACCUGCGGAAGGAUCAUUAAUAGAGUGUAUACCCCCCCGAUAAAAAAGGGGGGUAACCUCCCGUCCUUUGUUGGUCCCCUAUUUGGGGGGUCUUUUAUUUUAACUUUGCUUCGGUGGUAACCCACCGGAACACCCCCAAAAAUUCUUGAUUUCAAAAAUUGUUCAGUCCGAGAAAACUUUUAAUAAAAUUAAAACUUUCAGCAACGGAUCUCAGAUC
RNAcentral lists this unclassified non-coding RNA (240 nucleotides) under soil metagenome. RNAcentral describes it as "partial contains 5.8S ribosomal RNA, internal transcribed spacer 2, and large subunit ribosomal RNA". The record is from RNAcentral.